Molecule: long non-coding RNA, 242 nt
Organism: Sander lucioperca (pikeperch)
Lineage: Eukaryota; Metazoa; Chordata; Actinopteri; Perciformes; Percidae
Exons: 3
Source: RefSeq, a predicted model, not a curated record
AUCGCCCAGCCCUAACUUCUGUCUUAUUUGUGUCUCACUAGAUCAGUCGACAGCGCUGUCCAUCUUCUAACUGUGGACAUGUUGUUAGUCCCUUUGUAUGCACAAGAGCUAAUGAAAACAAUGAAAAUCCGACUUGUAAAUGAAAGGCAUUCAACUCGGGUGUGACGUUAUUCCCAGCUUCGGCUUCCGAGUUCUGAGGUAAAUGGAAUGCACUAUUACUACGAAGGAGGACAGGGAGGAUU